GACGAACGCUGGCGGCGCGCUUAACACAUGCAAGUCGAACGGAAAGGCCUGCUUUCCCUUGUGGAUUGCGGGUACUCGAGUGGCGAACGGGUGAGUAACACGUGAGUGAUCUGCCCCCAACUUGGGUAUAAGCCUGGGAAACUGGGUCUAAUUCCCGAUAGGACUGCAGGGUGGUGCCUGUGGUGGAAAACGAUUUUCUAGUGGUUGGGGAUGAGCUCGCGGCCUAUCAGCUUGUUGGUGGGGUAAUGGCCUACCAAGGCGGCGACGGGUAGCCGGCCUGAGAGGGUGGACGGCCACAUUGGGACUGAGACACAGCCCAGACUCCUACGGGAGGCAGCAGUGGGGAAUAUUACACAAUGGGCGGAAGCCUGAUGCAGCGACGCCGCGUGGGGGAUGACGGCCUUCGGGUUGUAAACUCCUUUCGACCGCGAGGAAGCCACCUGGUUGGAAGGGUGGUGACGGUAGUGGUAGAAGAAGCACCGGCUAACUACGUG
RNAcentral lists this ribosomal RNA (494 nucleotides) under uncultured bacterium. Its description in RNAcentral is "partial 16S ribosomal RNA". It matches the Rfam family "Bacterial small subunit ribosomal RNA", at positions 28 to 507 of the family's 1533-position model. The record is from RNAcentral.